UAUUCAAAUGAGAACUUUGAAGGCCG
RNAcentral lists this non-coding RNA (26 nucleotides) under Arabidopsis thaliana (thale cress). Lineage: Eukaryota; Viridiplantae; Streptophyta; Magnoliopsida; Brassicales; Brassicaceae. The record is from RNAcentral. RNAcentral also lists the same sequence under 2 other names.